UUGAAAUCACAUCCUGGGCUGUCCGCACCAUGGCCUGGGCUCCUCUCCUGCUUACGCUUCUGGCUCACAUCACAGGGGCUGAAUCACAGGCUGUGGUGACGCAGGAACCUUCCCUGUCCACAUCUCCUGGAGAGACGGUCACGCUCACCUGUGGCUCCAGUACUGGAGCCGUCACAACGAGCAACUAUGCUGAUUGGGUCCAACAGAAACCCUACCAAACAACCCGGGGACUAAUAGGUGAUACCAGCAACCGGGCCCCGGGUGUCCCUGCCCGCUUCUCAGGCUCGUUGCUUGGAGACAAGGCUGCCCUCACCAUCACAGGGGCCCAGCCUGAAGACGAGGCCACCUAUUACUGCGCCCUGUG
Non-coding RNA from Chinchilla lanigera (long-tailed chinchilla), 364 nucleotides. The record is from the annotation of a RefSeq genome assembly. Lineage: Eukaryota; Metazoa; Chordata; Mammalia; Rodentia; Chinchillidae.